UGGGGAAUUUUGGACAAUGGGCGAAAGCCUGAUCCAGCAAUGCCGCGUGUGUGAAGAAGGCCUUCGGGUUGUAAAGCACUUUUGUCCGGAAAGAAAUCCUUGACUCUAAUACAGUCGGGGGAUGACGGUACCGGAAGAAUAAGCACCGGCUAACUACGUGCCAGCAGCCGCGGUAAUACGUAGGGUGCAAGCGUUAAUCGGAAUUACUGGGCGUAAAGCGUGCGCAGGCGGUUUGCUAAGACCGAUGUGAAAUCCCCGGGCUCAACCUGGGAACUGCAUUGGUGACUGGCAGGCUAGAGUAUGGCAGAGGGGGGUAGAAUUCCACGUGUAGCAGUGAAAUGCGUAGAGAUGUGGAGGAAUACCGAUGGCGAAGGCAGCCCCCUGGGCCAAUACUGACGCUCAUGCACGAAAGCGUGGGGAGCAAAACAGGAUUAGAUACCCUGGUAGUCCACGCCCUAAACGAUGUCAACUAGUUGUUGGGGAUUCAUUUCCUUAGUAACGUAGCUAACGCGUGAAGUUGACCGCCUGGGGAGUACGGUCGCAAGAUUAAAACUUAAAUGAAUUGACGGGGUCAUAGCUGUUUCCU
This 586-nucleotide ribosomal RNA is filed under the name uncultured bacterium. RNAcentral's name for it is "partial 16S ribosomal RNA". It matches the Rfam family "Bacterial small subunit ribosomal RNA", at positions 355 to 1375 of the family's 1533-position model. The record is from RNAcentral.